GAUGAACGCUGGCGGCGUGCCUAAUACAUGCAAGUCGAGCGAACGGACGAGAAGCUUGCUCCUCUGAUGUUAGCGGCGGACGGGUGAGUAACACGUGGAUAACCUACCUAUAAGACUGGGAUAACUUCGGGAAACCGGAGCUAAUACCGGAUGAUAUUUUGAACCGCAUGGUUCAAAAGUGAAAGACGGUCUUGCUGUCACUUAUAGAUGGAUCCGCGCUGCAUUAGCUAGUUGGUAAGGUAACGGCUUACCAAGGCAACGAUGCAUAGCCGACCUGAGAGGGUGAUCGGCCACACUGGAACUGAGACACGGUCCAGACUCCUACGGGAGGCAGCAGUAGGGAAUCUUCCGCAAUGGGCGAAAGCCUGACGGAGCAACGCCGCGUGAGUGAUGAAGGUCUUCGGAUCGUAAAACUCUGUUAUUAGGGAAGAACAUAUGUGUAAGUAACUCUGCACGUCUUGACGGUACCUAAUCAGAAAGCCACGGCUAACUACGUG
This 497-nucleotide ribosomal RNA is filed under the name uncultured bacterium. RNAcentral describes it as "partial 16S ribosomal RNA". It matches the Rfam family "Bacterial small subunit ribosomal RNA", at positions 28 to 507 of the family's 1533-position model. The record is from RNAcentral.